Molecule: long non-coding RNA, 1517 nt
Organism: Pyrus x bretschneideri (Chinese white pear)
Lineage: Eukaryota; Viridiplantae; Streptophyta; Magnoliopsida; Rosales; Rosaceae
Exons: 4
Source: RefSeq, a predicted model, not a curated record
AAGAAGUUGAAUUACUUUUUUAUACCUCUUUUGUGAUCAUUUACUGAGAAUUUGUUAAUUGUUUUAAUAUAUAUAUAUAUAUAUAUAUAUAUAUAUAUAUAUAUGAGGUAGGAUUUCUACGUUCGUUUCUCAUCUUUAGAGAUUGCUGAAUUUCUACAUUCAUUUUUCAUCUUUAGAGAUUGUUGGAUUUCAUAUUGUCGAAUAGUUUAUGGAUUUUCAUAUUAAGUACGUCAAUAUGUUUUUGUAGUAAUUCAAUUAGGUGUGAUAUAAGUUGAUGUGUUUAUACCUUUAAAGAUAAUUUUUCACAUAAUUUCUAAUCCCGCAGCAACGCGGGCAAAACUUUCUAGUAUAUACUAAAAGGGAAAAACGCUUGAAACACUGUUCACUCGCCUGUGUUCUUCCGUUUUUGCCCCUUCUUUGUUUCUGUGAUCACUGUUUAUUAUACAGUUUGAUUCCGUUUAUACCCUUGUUUUGUCAGUGAUGGACACGAGUUGCUGAUGGUGGACGCGUGUUCUCUCUCAGAUUUCUCGACCUCUCUCUCGAAGAUUCCAGUAAAUCUUUCCGUUUCCUUCCUGUUCAGGUUUCUCGAGUUCUCUCUCUAAAAUUCAAUCUCUCCCCAAAAUUUCAUCUCUUCUCCUUAAAACCAGUUUCUCUUUCUAGAACUCCCUUGCCGCUGCCUUCUCUCUUUCACUUUCUUGAUGAAAACGACUCAUUUCCUAGCUCCUCUGUCACUUCCAUGUCCGCCGGCGCGCCCAAGAGGAAAAGACCGCGACCUGUGAAGUAUGACGACGAGAACCCGGUGGUUCAAAACAGUCCCAUUUCUUCGACGGCCAAAGUGGUGGCUGAUCAGCCUGCUAAGGUUGAGACUUCCUGUCCGAAUUUGGAAAAAAAAACCCAGGAUCUCCAGCUGAAAAUGGUGGGUCUUCGUAUGAUUUGCCCCACUCUCAAGCUGUUCUGGCAUCGCUGGAGGCUCAGCGGGAGUCAAUUAGGCCGGAGAGCAACACGGUGUCGAAGUCAAGGCCAGUGAAAGAUGAAUCGGAGAGUCCAAAUGUUAAAACAAGCAAGGAGGAGCCUCAAUCUCCCAAGAAGGAACCUACUGGUCUCAGAUUGGAUGAUAAACGUGAAGAAAUCGCACUGACCAAACCGUGAUAAAAUACAGAGAGAUGUGAAAUUAAAGAGAAGGGGACUAAAUCAAUCUUCGAUUUACCCAACCAAUAAUUCAAGAUUCAAGGAAGAUGGUGAAAAUCAGAACCCCAAUCUAUCAACCCCUCCAAUGAACCAAGCUAAGGCCAUGAAGGCAACAAUCAAAUCAAGAUUGAGAGCACAACGUCGAACAAUGAGGUUCUUCCGAAGCUGAAAAGCACGCUGUCUGCAAGGAAUAUUAUGCUUGGUCCCAAUUACGAUGAGGAAAUUAACAAGACUGUGGUUUGCCUUUAUUAGGUUUCUGUUGAAGGGUUGAGUUCAAUGGAGAAAUAUGUAUUUGGAUUAGGCUCUGCUCAGGAAAAAGUUGUCAAGUU